This 253-nucleotide ribosomal RNA is filed under the name uncultured bacterium. RNAcentral describes it as "partial 16S ribosomal RNA". It matches the Rfam family "Bacterial small subunit ribosomal RNA", at positions 524 to 776 of the family's 1533-position model. The record is from RNAcentral.
UACGAAGGGGGCUAGCGUUGCUCGGAAUUACUGGGCGUAAAGGGCGCGUAGGCGGAUCGACAAGUUGGGGGUGAAAUCCCGGGGCUUAACCUCGGAACUGCCUCCAAAACUGUCUAUCUUGAGUACGGGAGAGGUGAGUGGAACUCCGAGUGUAGAGGUGAAAUUCGUAGAUAUUCGGAAGAACACCAGUGGCGAAGGCGACUCACUGGCCCGUUACUGACGCUGAGGCGCGAAAGCGUGGGGAGCAAACAGG